CAAAAUGUUUACUUGAACAGUUUAAGCUUUAAGUAAUGCUAUUAACAAGCUUUUUUAAAAUUAAUACCAACAUCAUUAUCCUGAUCUGUGUGAAAUUAGCUUUAAUCCUGAAGAUUAAAAAAUGAAAAUUGAAAGACAAGAAAAAGUGAUACAAUGUAAUAAUGUUUCAAAAAGGUAUUCCGUUACAACAGGAUCAAAUUUUGCCGCCCACCAAUGGAAUGUAAUUGAAAGGAAAGAAUAAUUGUUCGAUAUUCAAUCAAGGAAAGUGAUAAUUUUAAAGUGACCUUCGUCGAUUGAUAAAAUGGAAAGCAAGUAAAGAAAGUGAUAAAAGAGGUAAUCCAUACUCAACAAAGCAGUUAUUAAUUUCAGAAGGUUUCUUUUCAAUACCUUGGUCUUAAGUCUACAUAUCAUUAAUACGAUUGGGCUGAAACCUAUCAUGGUGAAUGAUGGAUUGUUUCAUGUUAAAAAAUCACGGUUUAACCUUGGAGUACAAGUUGAAAGGAGAGAAAGUUAUUGCCAGAUUAAAAACACUUUAAUCCUUUCUUAAGAUCAAAGAUGAAGAUCGGCAAAUGGAGAUGCAAAAGGUUAACAGUUGGAAAUCGGACAAAACAAAUACUGUCGAGUACCCGGUUAAAGCAAUUUUUUUGAGCCCCAUUUAAAGCAAUUUUCACAGUCGCCAUCUAUGAUUUUUUGAAAAUUUACAUUGUUUUUUUAAUUUAUAGAAUCCUUUCAUUACCUAAAUCUUAAGCGUUGCCACUUUCUGCAAGGCAUUAUCACUAGAUGGAGACUGAGAAAAAAAGAUUGCUUUAACCGGGUACUCGACAGUAUCAAGGAAUGAACAGGAUCAAUUGGAUAAAAGACGGAGCCAACUUGAGUCAAUUGGAAUUGGUUUUGUUUGCUGGUUGCUAAUUGUUAAUUUGGUAUUCCAUAACUGUUGUUUAUAUUGGAUUGCACUUACCUGACAAAGUUUAUCUUUAUCAUGCCAAACAUCUUCAUCAUCUAAAUCACAAUCUGGAGUCUUUCUGUGGCCUUUUGAUUCAGCUUGUUUAGCACGUAAUAAAAUAUCUCGCCGACUAAUCAUCUCAGGUUGCGGGCUGUUAAAAUAAACCAAAAAAGAGAAAAGCAGUUAAAUUAUAGUUUAAGUACUCUAAAUCCAGAUAGAUUAUUAUGCCAAUUAUUUGAAAAUGAUAAGAUUAUUUGACAAUUGAAAAGUCAAAUUGAUUGAAGAUUGAAACAAAUAACUGAUUAUUAUAAAGGUUUGGCAGUUCAGUUGGAUUGGUUGGUUCAACAGUCAACAUUGAAUAGUUGUUUAAAUCAAUUUCAAUCCACAAUUCAAUUGAAAAUCAAUUUAAUUUCAAGGAUUAUUUAACGCCUUUAAAAGGGAGAUUAUCAUCAUCAUCAUCAUCAUCAUUUAAUAAUUGGCAAAGUCUCAAUCUUAAUUGGAUAUUUGAUUAAAUUUGGUCGACUUGAUUAUCAGGAUUAUGGAUUGCGAGGUUUCUGUUAUGGUUAAGGACAAAGUGAUUUACUGAUUUUAAUCAUCGUGACUUGAAUUAUCAAUAAACUUCCGUGAAGAGUUGAUGGUUGAAGCCUUUUAAAUGAUCCAAUGGUUUUAUCAAAUUUUGCUUGCGACCGAUGAUUAUUAUGUUGAAUAUGGGCUUUUGGUUUACCCUCAGGAUUCAUUGUAACCCCACGUAAAGCACUUGGA
Molecule: non-coding RNA, 1705 nt
Organism: Tetranychus urticae (two-spotted spider mite)
Lineage: Eukaryota; Metazoa; Arthropoda; Arachnida; Trombidiformes; Tetranychidae
Source: RefSeq, a predicted model, not a curated record